GUGUGUGUGUGUGUGUGUGUGUGUGUGUGUGUGUAAGUAAGUAAGUAAGUAAAGAUUUAUUGCCCAUUAGCAUAAAUACAUUUGAGAAAGACAUGUUUACAAACGAAAAGAAAAAUGGCAGAGACCGUCAAGCCGAAGCUUCCCGACAGUCACAUUUAUG
Molecule: long non-coding RNA, 160 nt
Filed under: Portunus trituberculatus (swimming crab)
Lineage: Eukaryota; Metazoa; Arthropoda; Malacostraca; Decapoda; Portunidae
Description: uncharacterized LOC123512807, transcript variant X1
Source: RNAcentral